CGGCGAUGUCCGAAUGGGGAAACCCAGUGCAAUUCGUUGCACUAUCGUUAACUGAAUACAUAGGUUAACGAGGCGAACCGGGGGAACUGAAACAUCUAAGUACCCCGAGGAAAAGAAAUCAACCGAGAUUCCCCCAGUAGCGGCGAGCGAACGGGGAGCAGCCCAGAGUCUGAAUCAGCUUGUGUGUUAGUGGAACGGUCUGGAAAGUCCGACGGUACAGGGUGAUAGUCCCGUACACCAAAAUGCACAGGUUGUGAACUCGAAGAGUAGGGCGGGACACGUGGUAUCCUGUCUGAAUAUGGGGGGACCAUCCUCCAAGGCUAAAUACUCCUGACUGACCGAUAGUGAACCAGUACCGUGAGGGAAAGGCGAAAAGAACCCCGGCGAGGGGAGUGAAAAAGAACCUGAAACCGUGUACGUACAAGCAGUGGGAGCACCUUCGGGUGUGACUGCGUACCUUUUGUAUAAUGGGUCAGCGACUUAUAUUCUGUAGCAAGGUUAACCGUAUAGGGGAGCCGCAGGGAAACCGAGUCUUAACUGGGCGUUAAGUUGCAGGGUAUAGACCCGAAACCCGGUGAUCUAGCCAUGGGCAGGUUGAAGGUUGGGUAACACUAACUGGAGGACCGAACCGACUAAUGUUGAAAAAUUAGCGGAUGACUUGUGGCUGGGGGUGAAAGGCCAAUCAAACCGGGAGAUAGCUGGUUCUCCCCGAAAGCUAUUUAGGUAGCGCCUCGUGAACUCAUCUUCGGGGGUAGAGCACUGUUUCGGCUAGGGGGUCAUCCCGACUUACCAACCCGAUGCAAACUACGAAUACCGAAGAAUGUUAUCACGGGAGACACACGGCGGGUGCUAACGUCCGUCGUGAAGAGGGAAACAACCCAGACCGCCAGCUAAGGUCCCAAAGUCAUGGUUAAGUGGGAAACGAUGUGGGAAGGCACAGACAGCCAGGAUGUUGGCUUAGAAGCAGCCAUCAUUUAAAGAAAGCGUAAUAGCUCACUGGUCGAGUCGGCCUGCGCGGAAGAUGUAACGGGGCUAAACCAUGCACCGAAGCUGCGGCAGCGACACUAUGUGUUGUUGGGUAGGGGAGCGUUCUGUAAGCCUGCGAAGGUGACCUGUGAGGGUUGCUGGAGGUAUCAGAAGUGCGAAUGCUGACAUAAGUAACGAUAAAGCGGGUGAAAAGCCCGCUCGCCGGAAGACCAAGGGUUCCUGUCCAACGUUAAUCGGGGCAGGGUGAGUCGACCCCUAAGGCGAGGCCGAAAGGCGUAGUCGAUGGGAAACAGGUUAAUAUUCCUGUACUUGGUGUUACUGCGAAGGGGGGACGGAGAAGGCUAUGUUAGCCGGGCGACGGUUGUCCCGGUUUAAGCAUGUAGGCUGGUUAUCCAGGCAAAUCCGGAUAAUCAAGGCUGAGGUGUGAUGACGAGGCACUACGGUGCUGAAGUAACAAAUGCCCUGCUUCCAGGAAAAGCCUCUAAGCAUCAGGUAACAUCAAAUCGUACCCCAAACCGACACAGGUGGUCAGGUAGAGAAUACCAAGGCGCUUGAGAGAACUCGGGUGAAGGAACUAGGCAAAAUGGUGCCGUAACUUCGGGAGAAGGCACGCUGGUGUGUAGGUGAAGCCCCUGCGGGUGGAGCUGAGACCAGUCGAAGAUACCAGCUGGCUGCAACUGUUUAUUAAAAACACAGCACUGUGCAAACACGAAAGUGGACGUAUACGGUGUGACGCCUGCCCGGUGCCGGAAGGUUAAUUGAUGGGGUUAUCCGUAAGGAGAAGCUCUUGAUCGAAGCCCCGGUAAACGGCGGCCGUAACUAUAACGGUCCUAAGGUAGCGAAAUUCCUUGUCGGGUAAGUUCCGACCUGCACGAAUGGCGUAAUGAUGGCCAGGCUGUCUCCACCCGAGACUCAGUGAAAUUGAACUCGCUGUGAAGAUGCAGUGUACCCGCGGCAAGACGGAAAGACCCCGUGAACCUUUACUAUAGCUUGACACUGAACAUUGAGCCUUGAUGUGUAGGAUAGGUGGGAGGCUUUGAAGCGUGGACGCCAGUCUGCGUGGAGCCAACCUUGAAAUACCACCCUUUAAUGUUUGAUGUUCUAACGUUGGCCCCUGACCGGGGUUGCGGACAGUGUCUGGUGGGUAGUUUGACUGGGGCGGUCUCCUCCCAAAGCGUAACGGAGGAGCACGAAGGUUAGCUAAUCCUGGUCGGACAUCAGGAGGUUAGUGCAAUGGCAUAAGCUAGCUUGACUGCGAGCGUGACGGCGCGAGCAGGUGCGAAAGCAGGUCAUAGUGAUCCGGUGGUUCUGAAUGGAAGGGCCAUCGCUCAACGGAUAAAAGGUACUCCGGGGAUAACAGGCUGAUACCGCCCAAGAGUUCAUAUCGACGGCGGUGUUUGGCACCUCGAUGUCGGCUCAUCACAUCCUGGGGCUGAAGUAGGUCCCAAGGGUAUGGCUGUUCGCCAUUUAAAGUGGUACGCGAGCUGGGUUUAGAACGUCGUGAGACAGUUCGGUCCCUAUCUGCCGUGGGCGCUGGAGAAUUGAGGGGGGCUGCUCCUAGUACGAGAGGACCGGAGUGGACGCAUCACUGGUGUUCGGGUUGUCAUGCCAAUGGCACUGCCCGGUAGCUAAAUGCGGAAGAGAUAAGUGCUGAAAGCAUCUAAGCACGAAACUUGCCCCGAGAUGAGUUCUCCCUGAGACUUUAAGUCUCCUGAAGGAACGUUAAAGACGAUGACGUUGAUAGGCCGGGUGUGUAAGCGCAGCGAUGCGUUGAGCUAACCGGUACUAAUGAACCGUGAGGCUUAACCUU
This 2797-nucleotide ribosomal RNA is filed under the name Klebsiella pneumoniae. RNAcentral's name for it is "bacterial LSU rRNA". It matches the Rfam family "Bacterial large subunit ribosomal RNA". Lineage: Bacteria; Pseudomonadati; Pseudomonadota; Gammaproteobacteria; Enterobacterales; Enterobacteriaceae. The record is from RNAcentral.